This 113-nucleotide non-coding RNA is filed under the name Canis lupus familiaris (dog). The record is from RNAcentral. RNAcentral also lists the same sequence under 1 other name. Lineage: Eukaryota; Metazoa; Chordata; Mammalia; Carnivora; Canidae.
UCUGCAGGCCACGCUGAGUUUGGGGCCCUACCCAGAAAGGUGCUGAUGAGGCAGGAUACAGAUUAUUAGCGCCUGACUGAGUGGGGUCCCAAUCAGUAACAGAACUGCCCGUG